UCCGGUAGGGGGGGCCUGCGGAGGGAUCAUUA
RNAcentral lists this ribosomal RNA (32 nucleotides) under Septoria sp. LYZ2006. Its description in RNAcentral is "partial 18S ribosomal RNA". Lineage: Eukaryota; Fungi; Ascomycota; Dothideomycetes; Mycosphaerellales; Mycosphaerellaceae. The record is from RNAcentral.